UCGCCAACACAGCUAUUUAUGUCUGCCACAAGAAAUCAAUGGAAGAGAGUGUAAAGCAGGCAGCUAAGGGCUGAAACCAACUGGUUACUAUAUGGCACUGGGAACCGAUUGACUUGGGCAGCACACUAAGUGAGUUUGUGAAGUGAUGAUACUAGGUGUUCUGGUGAGGGUUUCAUCCACAACAGUUUCUUGACAAACACAUGCAAAGGCAAGGCAACUGUUCAGCUGAAAAGACCCUAACAGAAAUA
Molecule: long non-coding RNA, 248 nt
Organism: Haliotis rubra (blacklip abalone)
Lineage: Eukaryota; Metazoa; Mollusca; Gastropoda; Lepetellida; Haliotidae
Exons: 3
Source: RefSeq, a predicted model, not a curated record